Molecule: transfer RNA, 74 nt
Filed under: Myxococcales bacterium
Lineage: Bacteria; Pseudomonadati; Myxococcota; Myxococcia; Myxococcales
Description: tRNA-Pro
Rfam family: tRNA
About the family: Transfer RNA (tRNA) molecules are approximately 80 nucleotides in length. Their secondary structure includes four short double-helical elements and three loops (D, anti-codon, and T loops).
Source: RNAcentral
CGUGGUGUAGCUCAGCCUGGGAGAGCGCCUGCCUUGGGAGCAGGAGGCCGCUGGUUCGAUCCCAGUCACCGCGA